RNAcentral lists this long non-coding RNA (920 nucleotides) under Rattus norvegicus (Norway rat). RNAcentral describes it as "long non-coding RNA NONRATT031747". The record is from RNAcentral. Lineage: Eukaryota; Metazoa; Chordata; Mammalia; Rodentia; Muridae.
GAUUCAGCCAUUCGACAUUGAGGUGAGCUGAUGGACCAGUGCAGAGCAGAGAGGUUGAUCUGGCCACGUGACACGAGGUAGUGCCAGGAUUAGUUGGGAUAGAGUAGGUGGGAGACUGCCAUUGCAUCAUUAUUUAUAUUGUUGGCAAGUCUGAGUUAGUCCCAUUGUAAGGGAGGCUUAGGAAACCAGUUUUAAGGUGAGAGGAUGAAGAAAGGAGGGUUGGGAAGAAACAGGAAAGAUGGGUGCAGAGUAGUACAGAGCCUUUAUCGAGAAAUGGAGAAAGUUUAUGCUGAGUUCUCAUGGGAUAAUGGAGAUGACUCGACAUUUCAUUGAGUGCAUCUGAAGUCCUUAGUGUCCCUGGCACAGAGAAAGAUUGGAAAAUGUUUUGAACUGUGUAGCACUGAAUAGAAUUAACCAUAACCAUAUUGUAUCAAUAAGUUUAAAAUUUUCUUUGAUAAACAACUUCCCUACACUCUCCCAGCCCCUGUCAGCCCCCCAUUCAACUUUACGACUCAGAGAGCUUUAGAUAUCUUGUCUAAAUGGGACCAAGUAGUGUCUUCUUUGUGCUUGGCUUAGUUGAGAUGAAUUUUAUAUUUUGACUUAUUAUAAUACCUUUAUGUUUUGGCUCCCAUGACUAGGGGCAUAAAACCAAUAAGGAGCAAACAGUGGAGCAGAGGUGUCACUUUGGAUGCUGUUGCACUGUUGGAGAUGGGAUUACAGUAUUAUGAGGAAGUCUGCAUAGAUGGAUACAAGUAGAAAGAAUUUGGGAGAUGAUGAAGGCGAAUGCUGUAUAUGCAUACACAGAAUGACUCUCUUUGAAGUGCUCUGCCCAGGAAGAUGCUCAAAAAGACACCAGCAAGCUCACCUCAGGACUGUCCUUUGUUCACCCAUUGCUUGAGGAAAACCAUGAUCCAUUAACA